This 483-nucleotide ribosomal RNA is filed under the name uncultured bacterium. RNAcentral describes it as "partial 16S ribosomal RNA". It matches the Rfam family "Bacterial small subunit ribosomal RNA", at positions 30 to 507 of the family's 1533-position model. The record is from RNAcentral.
AUUGAACGCUGGCGGCAGGCCUAACACAUGCAAGUCGAGCGGAUGAAGGGAGCUUGCUCCUGGAUUCAGCGGCGGACGGGUGAGUAUGCCUAGGAAUCUGCCUGGUAGUGGGGGAUAACGUCCGGAAACGGGCGCUAAUACCGCAUACGUCCAGAGGGAGAAAGUGGGGGAUCUUCGGACCUCACGCUAUCAGAUGAGCCUAGGUCGGAUUAGCUAGUUGGUGGGGUAAAGGCCUACCAAGGCGACGAUCCGUAACUGGUCUGAGAGGAUGAUCAGUCACACUGGAACUGAGACACGGUCCAGACUCCUACGGGAGGCAGCAGUGGGGAAUAUUGGACAAUGGGCGAAAGCCUGAUCCAGCCAUGCCGCGUGUGUGAAGAAGGUCUUCGGAUUGUAAAGCACUUUAAGUUGGGAGGAAGGGCAGUAAGUUAAUACCUUGCUGUUUUGACGGUACCAACAGAAUAAGCACCGGCUAACUUCGUG